Long non-coding RNA from Mauremys reevesii (Reeves's turtle), 769 nucleotides. RefSeq lists it as uncharacterized. The record is from RefSeq and is a predicted model, not a curated record. Lineage: Eukaryota; Metazoa; Chordata; Testudines; Geoemydidae. The transcript has 4 exons.
AUCACGGAAGCGGAAACGUGCCGAGAUCGGGAUCAACCGGCUGCUGAACGAGCGGGUGUACGGCGCUGCCUUCCCGCUGCACGAGGGCCCCUUCGAGACGCCUGAGUCUGAGGUCCCCGAUGAAGCCCUGAACCCUCGCCAAGUCCUCUACCGCUUCUGGGCCCAGUGGGGCUGCUGGUACCGGUACCAGCCGCUGGAUCACAUCCGCCAGUACUUCGGGGAGAAGAUUGCCAUCUACUUCGCCUGGCUGGGUCGGGUACCUGUUUGAUCACCCCGGGACGGUUUUCUUCAGCGUCUUCAUGUCCUUCUGGGCCGUGACCUUCCUGGAGUACUGGAAGAGGAAAAGCGCCACGCUGGCUCAUCACUGGGACUGCAUGGACUUCCAGGAGGAGGAGAUGGUGCGAGCCAGGAUCUCAUAGACCUGCCGACCCGAGGAGCGCGGCGCCGUCAGCAAAGUCCACCCUCGCCAGGGCUCACGCGGAGCAGGAACCCAGCAAGUCCCGGCUGGGCGCAGCCCUGUGGAGCUCACACACCUGGACCUUGCACCAGAGCCUUGGGAUGCUAAUGGGAGCCUUCCCAUAGACCUUUCUGGCCCAGCCCCCAGGGCAGGAGCUGCCCACGGCUCUGAUGCCCCCACAUUCCCCUUGGCUCAUGCUAGGUGCAGGGCAGAGGGAGCCUUCCUGACCCUUCCCCAGGCAAUCAGCCGUGCCCUGGAGCCUGAGAUUGGAUUCAAACACACGUCACUGGUUCUAGUGUUUCCCACCAGCUG